RNAcentral lists this ribosomal RNA (345 nucleotides) under Wolbachia endosymbiont of Ornithodoros rietcorreai. RNAcentral describes it as "bacterial SSU rRNA". It matches the Rfam family "Bacterial small subunit ribosomal RNA", at positions 473 to 818 of the family's 1533-position model. Lineage: Bacteria; Pseudomonadati; Pseudomonadota; Alphaproteobacteria; Rickettsiales; Anaplasmataceae. The record is from RNAcentral.
UGGUACCCACAGAAGAAGUCCUGGCUAACUCCGUGCCAGCAGCCGCGGUAAUACGGAGAGGGCUAGCGUUAUUCGGAAUUAUUGGGCGUAAAGAGCGCGUAGGCUGGUUAGUAAGUUAAAAGUGAAAUCCCAGAGCUCAACUUUGGAAUUGCUUUUAAAACUGCUAACCUAGAGAUUGAAAGAGGAUAGAGGAAUUCCUAGUGUAGAGGUGGAAUUCGUAAAUAUUAGGAGAACACCAGUGGCGAAGGCGUCUAUCUGGUUCAAAUCUGACGCUGAGGCGCGAAGGCGUGGGGAGCAAACAGGAUUAGAUACCCUGGUAGUCCACGCUGUAAACGAUGAGUGCAA